This 253-nucleotide ribosomal RNA is filed under the name uncultured bacterium. RNAcentral describes it as "partial 16S ribosomal RNA". It matches the Rfam family "Bacterial small subunit ribosomal RNA", at positions 524 to 776 of the family's 1533-position model. The record is from RNAcentral.
UACGUAGGGGGCAAGCGUUGUCCGGAAUCAUUGGGCGUAAAGAGCGUGUAGGCGGCCCGGUAAGUCCGCUGUGAAAGUCGGGGGCUCAACCCUCGAAUGCCGGUGGAUACUGUCGGGCUAGAGUGCGGAAGAGGCGAGUGGAAUUCCUGGUGUAGCGGUGGAAUGCGCAGAUAUCAGGAGGAACACCAACGGCGAAGGCAGCUCGCUGGGACGGUACUGACACUAAGGCGCGAAAGCGUGGGGAGCGAACAGG